CCUACGGGGUGCUGCAGUGGGGAAUAUUGGACAAUGGGCGAAAGCCUGAUCCAGCCAUGCCGCGUGUGUGAAGAAGGCCUUCGGGUUGUAAAGCACUUUCAGUGGGGAAGAAAGCCUUGGGGCUAAUACCCUCGAGGAAGGACAUCACCCACAGAAGAAGCACCGGCUAACUCCGUGCCAGCAGCCGCGGUAAUACGGAGGGUGCGAGCGUUAAUCGGAAUUACUGGGCGUAAAGCGCGCGUAGGCGGUCUAAUAAGCCGGUUGUGAAAGCCCCGGGCUCAACCUGGGAACGGCAUCCGGAACUGUCAGGCUAGAGUGCAGGAGAGGAAGGUAGAAUUCCCGGUGUAGCGGUGAAAUGCGUAGAGAUCGGGAGGAAUACCAGUGGCGAAGGCGGCCUUCUGGACUGACACUGACGCUGAGGUGCGAAAGCGUGGGUAGCAAACAGGAUUAGAUACCCUAGUAGU
This 464-nucleotide ribosomal RNA is filed under the name Vreelandella stevensii. RNAcentral's name for it is "partial 16S ribosomal RNA". It matches the Rfam family "Bacterial small subunit ribosomal RNA", at positions 338 to 794 of the family's 1533-position model. Lineage: Bacteria; Pseudomonadati; Pseudomonadota; Gammaproteobacteria; Oceanospirillales; Halomonadaceae. The record is from RNAcentral.